Molecule: ribosomal RNA, 254 nt
Filed under: uncultured bacterium
Lineage: Bacteria
Description: partial 16S ribosomal RNA
Rfam family: Bacterial small subunit ribosomal RNA
Source: RNAcentral
UACGUAGGGGGCGAGCGUUGUCCGGAUUUAUUGGGCGUAAAGAGCUCGUAGGCGGUUUGGCAAGUCGGGUGUGAAAACUCCGGGCUCAACUCGGAGACGCCACUCGAUACUGCUAUGACUCGAGUCCGGUAGGGGAGUGUGGAAUUCCUGGUGUAGCGGUGAAAUGCGUAGAUAUCAGGAGGAACACCUGUGGCGAAAGCGGCUCACUGGACCAUAACUGACGCUGAUGCACGAAAGCUAGGGGAGCAAACAGG